RNAcentral lists this ribosomal RNA (649 nucleotides) under uncultured bacterium. RNAcentral describes it as "bacterial SSU rRNA". It matches the Rfam family "Bacterial small subunit ribosomal RNA", at positions 43 to 740 of the family's 1533-position model. The record is from RNAcentral.
CAGGCCUAACACAUGCAAGUCGAGCGCGCCUUCGGGUGAGCGGCGGACGGGUUAGUAACGCGUGGGAACGUGCCCUUUUCUACGGAGUAGCCUCUGGAAACGGAGAGUAAUACCGUAUACGCCCUUUGGGGGAAAGAUUUAUCGGAGAAGGAUCGGCCCGCGUUAGAUUAGGUAGUUGGUGGGGUAACGGCCUACCAAGCCUUCGAUCUAUAGCUGGUUUUAGAGGAUGAUCAGCAACACUGGGACUGAGACACGGCCCAGACUCCUACGGGAGGCAGCAGUGGGGAAUCUUAGACAAUGGGGGCAACCCUGAUCUAGCCAUGCCGCGUGAGUGAUGAAGGCCUUAGGGUCGUAAAGCUCUUUCGCCUGUGAUGAUAAUGACAGUAGCAGGUAAAGAAACCCCGGCUAACUCCGUGCCAGCAGCCGCGGUAAUACGGAGGGGGUUAGCGUUGUUCGGAAUUACUGGGCGUAAAGCGCGCGUAGGCGGAUUAGAAAGUUGGGGGUGAAAUCCCGGGGCUCAACCUCGGAACUGCCUCCAAAACUGCUAGUCUAGUGUUCGAGAGAGGUGAGUGGAAUUCCGAGUGUAGAGGUGAAAUUCGUAGAUAUUCGGAGGAACACCAGUGGCGAAGGCGGCUCACUGGCUCGAUAC